UGAGGAAUAUUGGGCAAUGCCCGCAAGGGUGACCCAGCAACGCCGCGUGGAGGAUGAAUGUCGUAAGAUUGUAAACUCCUGUUAGAGGGGAAGAAUAGUACCGGUUGGACCGGUAUAUGACUGUACCCUCAGAGAAAGCCCCGGCUAACUACGUGCCAGCAGCCGCGGUCAUACGUAGGGGGCAAGCGUUGUCCGGAUUUACUGGGUGUAAAGGGCGCGGAGGCGGGAUAAAAAGUCAGUGGUGAAAUCCUACAGCUUAACU
Molecule: ribosomal RNA, 262 nt
Filed under: uncultured bacterium
Lineage: Bacteria
Description: partial 16S ribosomal RNA
Rfam family: Bacterial small subunit ribosomal RNA
Source: RNAcentral